This 253-nucleotide ribosomal RNA is filed under the name uncultured bacterium. RNAcentral describes it as "partial 16S ribosomal RNA". It matches the Rfam family "Bacterial small subunit ribosomal RNA", at positions 524 to 776 of the family's 1533-position model. The record is from RNAcentral.
UACGUAGGGGGCAAGCGUUGUCCGGAAUCAUUGGGCGUAAAGAGCGUGUAGGCGGUCCGAUUAGUCCGCUGUGAAAGUCCAGGGCUCAACCCUGGAAAGCCGGUGGAUACUGUCGGGCUAGAGUCCGGAAGAGGCGAGUGGAAUUCCUGGUGUAGCGGUGAAAUGCGCAGAUAUCAGGAGGAACACCGAUGGCGAAGGCAGCUCGCUGGGACGGUACUGACGCUGAGACGCGAAAGCGUGGGGAGCAAACAGG